Molecule: ribosomal RNA, 486 nt
Filed under: uncultured bacterium
Lineage: Bacteria
Description: partial 16S ribosomal RNA
Rfam family: Bacterial small subunit ribosomal RNA
Source: RNAcentral
AUUGAACGCUGGCGGCAUGCCUUACACAUGCAAGUCGAACGGCAGCACGGGUGCUUGCACCUGGUGGCGAGUGGCGAACGGGUGAGUAAUGCAUCGGAACAUGUCCUGUAGUGGGGGAUAGCCCGGCGAAAGCCGGAUUAAUACCGCAUACGAUCUACGGAUGAAAGCGGGGGACCUUCGGGCCUCGCGCUAUAGGGUUGGCCGAUGGCUGAUUAGCUAGUUGGUGGGGUAAAGGCCUACCAAGGCGACGAUCAGUAGCUGGUCUGAGAGGACGACCAGCCACACUGGGACUGAGACACGGCCCAGACUCCUACGGGAGGCAGCAGUGGGGAAUUUUGGACAAAGGGCGAAAGCCUGAUCCAGCAAUGCCGCGUGUGUGAAGAAGGCCUUCGGGUUGUAAAGCACUUUUGUCCGGAAAGAAAUCCUUGGCCCUAAUACGGUCGGGGGAUGACGGUACCGGAAGAAUAAGCACCGGCUAACUACGUG